GCCGUGCUGGUCUCGGGGGUGUUUGGGGCCGGAAGGGACCUUCCACCAGCAUGCCCUGCGCUUGGGCCGGGGUCUUUCGCAGAUCGCCAGGGUGGGUGACCUGUUUCCCGUGCACCCAGCGACUUCCAGACUCAUCGAUUCAUAGAUGCUGCGGUGGGACGAGACCUCAAGAGAUCAUCGAGUCCGACCCCCUGCCCUGGGCAGGAAUGAGCGCUCACGUGUGGGAUCUCCGGACUCGCACUCGGAGCUGCUGCCAGCGAGAGGGCUGAGCACGGGCCUGCCCUAGGAAGAAGUGUGGUGCGCUACCGUGUGCUCGCCCUCUGCCCGCACCCUUGUAAGUGCGAGUACCCAGAGCCGUUUGCACCGAGACGGAGCACUAGUACCUGCCACGAAGCCGAGGUGGGCUCGCGACUCAAGAGGUGAGGGCGGUAAUCACCGUCCCAGGGAGCACGAGUGUUUCCCAGCCCUCGCACCCACUGAGAGCUGGGCAGGGCAUUUGGUGUGCACGAUCAUUUGCUCCGAGAGAGGUGGCAUGCGUGCCCCCAAGACAUGGGGCUGGAUCCUCUGAAGGAGUGUGCUAGCGCGUGUGAGCCAGAUUACACAGACAUGCUACUUCCAAGAGUGGGCGCCCAUCCUUGUUCAUGAACGUGAACCCUGGUGAAUGCUUGUGCACGGCCCUCUGUCUGUGAGUGCAUGCCUGGAACGGCUCGCCGAAUGUAAUCCAGAUGAGGGAGGAAGGAAGAGCAUCUGGCCUUGAUUGGGAGCGCACAUAAGCAUUCACACUCAAAAAGAACAGAGCUUAAUCCUUAGAGGGUGCUCGCAUGUUACGGGUUUGUGCAUAUAGCACAGUUACUCAUACACAAGAGUGGCUAAACCAUGGAAACUGAGUCCUAUUUCAUUCAGGAAGAAGCUGCCCUGAUUAGCUUACACUUACCGUGCAGAAGGCGCAGCCACAGAAACCAGUCCUGCAGAAGAGCCAGUAUGGGGAGCCAAAGAGAAAAAAAAGCGCUAUAGAAAUCGCAAGUUCAGAGAAAAUCUGGAGGAUUCGUGUUAGAGCAGUGAGGCAUGUCUUUGUGGCAGCGGAAGAAAUAAAUCCCUGUUGAUUAGAAGAGAUGCAGUUUACAUAUGUAUGUGUGAGCACCUGUGCAUGUAAUCACAUACACAGUAACACCAGCCAGCAGAGGUGAAAUGAGUAAUUCAGAAACAGGGAUUCAUGGAUAAGAAGUACCUGUGGAUUAUAACUAUCUGGAUUAUUUCGAGUGCAAAUGUUUUAUACCUUCCAUGGGAGGUUCUGCAACUCAGACUAACUAAUUAUAUGCCUAAAUACAACUCUAAGUGCCUAACAUUAAGCACCCAAGUGUGAAAAUGAUAGCCCAAAUCUGUUCCAAUGCCUUGCCACCAACUGGCAGAUACACACAGGCCACUUUGCAUGAACAAUAAAAGCCUUAUGAGAAGCUGAAAUCCUGUGAGCCUGAGCGUGAGCAGGCCCGGAGAUAAAAUGCUUUCAAUGUGCACAACAGAUGGGGGCUUUAGAGUGAGGAGCUGAUAAUCUGUGGAUUAAAGACUCCCUAAUUACACACUGACACUUCAAAACCAUGCCAGCCCCUGUUGUUUCAGUGAUGUACCACCUUCCGAGUGGAAGAUCCUAAGGAUCCAGCACUCCUUUAAUGCCCGCUGACAUGCUUCAGUGCUGCUACAGUGUCUGUGUGGCAUUAAUCUACAGAUCUGGGACUCCCUGCAUCCAUACCAGGGUGGCUGUGUCAUGCUUCCAGGAAGAAGUCCAUGUCUAUGUGAAGACCAAGUUGAGCCUCAAUGGAAGAACUAAAAUUGAAAUCUUGUCUUCUCUACCACGAGACCUCAAACCUGUUGCCAGCUUGUGCCAACUAAUGCCUGGAUCAUGAAAUUGGACUCAGUGUCAAGCAAUGGAUUCAUAAAGCUAAUAAUUUAAAUAUUUUCACUGAACUUUUAAUGGCAUCAAAACACUAUUCAGUUUAGAACUGCUAGGAAAUAUCUACAGUGAGCCUGUUAACUGACGCCUAUAAUAUAUAUUUGUUUCCCUGUAUCCUAAUAUGUAUUUUAAAUACCAAUUAAUCAAUCUACCAGCUUAUCUAUUUAACUAUGUUCUCAUCACCAGUAAUAAUAACAGUGAUUAUAAUUUUGAAGUGGAAAUUAGAAAUUUUUAAAGAAACCUUCAAAAAUUGGGUAUGAACUGUUUUUCUGCAUUUUUCCAACUAUCUCUACCAGUAAUACUUUACUUUGAUGAUCAUCUCUGUCUUUGAAUCAGCUACUGAACGCAGGUAACUGGGGGAGCUUUACAGUUUCCUAAAGUCCUGAGUGCCGAUACUUUUCUGUAAGUCACCCAUCUGAGACCUUCAGUGACGUGCACAGCAUCUUCCUGCCCGUUAUGUUCCUAGCUGGAAAUGAGGAUCUAGCAUGUGUUUUUGAAAAUGGAGACUGACACUGCUCAAUUGAACAUUAGGCUUAAACACGCGGACAAAGGGUCAUGUGAAACCUACUUCUGGAAGUGAGGGCAUGAUGUCUAGGAUGUCUUUAGCCCCAUCUAGGACUGGAAGUGAAGUCUCUGUGAGUUGCUUCUAUCAUAGCUGAACACAAUGGCUACAUUGUGUUCAGCCAUGAUAGAAGCAAUAAAGGUCACAUAAAGGUUCACAUAAAGGUCAUGGGUCCUACCUCCUCUCUUUCAUAGUGUCCUCUUUCUUUCCCACUUUUUCAUGUGGCAGUCAAUCUUUCCAUUUGAGAGAGACACAAGCGUGAACAUAAGCUGCCUACCAAGGCCAGGAAGCACAUUUCUUCUCAGUGGCAUGGGGCUCUCCCAGCCCAGUCUUGAUGCACCGCAAAUGGCCCAUUGCCAAUCCUUAGGGCUUUUAUUGUGUUUAGAUAAAUGUCCAAACAACGGAAAACUACUGCUGUCCAAAUUGGCUGGCAAAGUAGCAUAGAGAAACCUUUUAAUAUGCAGACAGAAUGAUAUUUCCUUUUACACAAGCUCUUUGUUUGGCAUCUUUCUGCCCAGGACAGACACAGACAGACACUGAUGACUCAGUCCUUCACUCAACAGACCCUGUUUAAUUGCAGUAGCCUGGGUAAGACCUGAGUCAUGUAGGAAUACUGCACGCUUCCUACAUGUUUCUUUGUCUUCAAAACUUGCUGUAGCAGAACUAGCCCCAGAAAUGAAUGGUUGCUUGUAUGAGGCUCACCUGGACAUCCCUCAAUGGCUAGAUCUAUCUGGGUAGAAGAUAAAGAAUUUGACUCUGACUCCACAUCUGAAUUUCAGAUUUGUUCUUAUUCUUUGCAAAAACACACUUUUGGAUCUGAUCAGCUCCUGCUUUCAAAAAUACAAAAUUAGUAUCUAAAACCAAAGCUGGGGCUCAGACCAAUCUUCAGAAUCUGAUUUAGAC
This is a long non-coding RNA of Alligator sinensis (Chinese alligator), 3413 nucleotides long. RefSeq lists it as uncharacterized. NCBI's taxonomy places the organism in Eukaryota, Metazoa, Chordata, Crocodylia, Alligatoridae. The transcript has 4 exons. The record is from RefSeq and is a predicted model, not a curated record.